UCAUGGAAAUGCAAGGUUUAUUCAUGCUCCAAAAAACCCAAGGCUUGUUCCUCUCCUUUUCUGCUCACUCUUCCUGUAAGAAACAGACUGACAGAGGCUAAAGAAAGAAAAAGGGGAGGGGGGGGAAUUUGUUUUACAGUGGGGGGCUCCUUAUCCAGACAACAGAAACCUGGCAAGGCAAAAGAAUUGUACCAUCACCUUCUCUUCUGCAGCAGGCAACUGAGAGCUGGAUAGACAGGAGACAUUUUGCAAGACUCUGCAACUGAAGCAGUGCUAACCAGGUGGUGCGGGUUCAAAUGGCUGCCAAGCUUUUCGUUCUAAUCAGCUGGCCAGAUGGCAGCCGUGUGAUCAACAUCGAAAACAUCAAAGAACCCCGAAAGCCAUUUCAUCGCUACAUGGUGGGGGAGCAGGUGCUAGCCCGCUGCCCUGGCUUCAGUGGUCUGUACUGGGGGGUUGUGGAAGGCAUAAGCGAGCAUAAAGAUAUCUUAGAGAAAAGGCUGCAGGAAAAUAGACAACUCUUUGAGAAGCUAAAAGACGAACCAGCAGUGCACAGUGGGCUGCCAUCCCAACCUAAAAAAUCAAGGAAGUCUUUUCCAAAAUGGAUGCCAGGAAGUUCCUCUCGGAAAUACAGCGAUGACCGGAGCUUCUAUGUCAAACCGCUGGUCGGGGAUGAAGACGCAGGGCUCCAGCGUGAUGCUGCCAUCUCUUCUGUCUUAAAAGAGAGGCGCAUCCUGACUAGCACGACUAGAUCCCACUGCACAAUGUCAGCACCUCACCACUCUUCCCCGGCCUUCAAAUCACCAUCUCCGUUCUUGUCCCUGGCUGUGCCUGGAACAUCCCAGAAUGAAGAAGCAAGGCCUGGCACAGCUACCAGAGAUUACAUCACCCUGACAAUGAAAAGGAAGUCAGAUGGCAUUCUAGCUAAGUGUCAGCAGCACAUCUGUACCAACAGCUGUGAUGAACCAAAGACUGAAGGUUCCCCAGAAACAGAUGAUUUUGAGGUAGUUCCGAAAGAUUUUGGCCCUGGUGAAAUGGAAAGGUCCGAGAAGAUUGAACAACUGGAGAGAAUCAUAGUAGAUCUCCAGCAAGAGGUCCUCUCCCUGAAACGGAAGGUGCAGCGGCUGGAGUCACUGUCCUUUCAGGAAGAACCCCAUAGGCAGCAAGGCGAGGUGGUGGAAUUGUUUAAUGGCUACACAAAGGAGCAUUUAAAAGAGGCCAUCCGAUUUGACCAGAAAAUCAGCACCGCCUGCAAAACACUACUCUACAAGCUGUUCACGUCCGACUAUAUACAGAGCCACUCCAUCACAGGAAGGAGAGGGAACACCUUUCGGGAGGCUAAGCCCAUGAUGGAUGAGCGGUGCAUCAAAAUCAUUAGGGUGUUACUGAAGCAGAAGUUUGGGGACCACCUGAGCGACACAGUAAUCACUGAGAAAAUCCAAAAUGUGCAGAAAGCACUCAGGCAGAAAUUUAAGACGGAAUGUCUCUGA
RNAcentral lists this long non-coding RNA (1487 nucleotides) under Chrysemys picta bellii (western painted turtle). RNAcentral's name for it is "lncRNA (ENSCPBG00000013972.1)". The record is from RNAcentral. Lineage: Eukaryota; Metazoa; Chordata; Testudines; Emydidae.